Molecule: ribosomal RNA, 259 nt
Filed under: uncultured bacterium
Lineage: Bacteria
Description: partial 16S ribosomal RNA
Rfam family: Bacterial small subunit ribosomal RNA
Source: RNAcentral
CCGGCGCACGGGUGCGUAACGCGUAUGCAACCUACCAUCAACAGGGGGAUAACACUGAGAAAUUGGUACUAAUACCCCAUAAUAUCUCAUGCGGCAUCGCAUGGGGUUGAAAACUCCGGUGGUUGAUGAUGGGCAUGCGUUGUAUUAGCUGGUUGGUGAGGUAACGGCUCACCAAGGCGACGAUACAUAGGGGGACUGAGAGGUUAACCCCCCCACAUUGGUACUGAGACACGGACCAAACUCCUACGGAAGGCAGCAG